CACUUGGCCCCGAAAAAGGAGUGGUUCUCGAACAAAACGAGCCUAGCGAACCCUCCAACGCUUUGGUUUCGAAACCCUAGAUCUCACUCGGAAAACCCUUUUUGCCUUUUUGAGUUGUUUGUUGUUUCCGAAUUUUAUAGAGAGGAUUUUGAUCGAUCAACAACAAGAAGGGAGGCUAGUGGUUGAACAUGGAUUCGAAUUCACAUGGAAACCUCGAUGAGCAGAUUUCUCAGCUCAUGCAGUGCAAACCCUUGUCCGAGCAAUAGAUUAUGCUCUUGCUCAGUCUUAAAUAAUGUCUUCCAAGAGAGCCUCUGCCUCACUAGGUACCAUUAGUUCUCUUUUGAAGUUGUGUUGCUCACGAAACGUUUCGGAUUGUAUCAAAUGCUUUAAUACGUUAAGGGCUAUUAGCACUGCUGCUGAAAGUUCGAAUUUUCAGUUUUAUGGGGGUUAUCAAACAGAUGAUUCUGUGGGUUACCAGCAAAAAAACCCUGCUGAUUAUGUUGCUCAAUCAAAUUCAAGUCGGUCUUAUGGGAAUAAUCAAGCUAGUGCAGGUGAAGGUCAUAUGAAUUUCACCUCAAAUGGAGUGCAGAACAAUUUGGUAGGAGAUAAAGGAGGUGUUGAUGGGUACCCUGGUCCGAGCAACACAAGAAUGCAACAGAAAGUUUGGGUAGGUGUUGAUAAUUCUAGGGGAUUUGGGAUGCAUCCGAAUGUGUUUGUUGAGAAACAUAAUUGGACACAAGAACCUGAACAAAGGAUGCAGGAUCCCAAUUCAUAUAGUUCACCUCGGCCUCUAGAUUAUUAUGGAAAUGUUAAUCAAAACAUUGAUGGUUUUCAGCAGUCACCAACUGAUUAUUACUCUGGGAGUAAUGAAAUGCGGCAACAAUACUCAGGUUCUGGACAAUUUCAGCAGAGUCGAAAAGAUGGUUGGUAUCCUCCAAACUUGAAUAGUGUGCAGAGAUCAAUGGUUGACUCUCAUUCUUCAAUUAAUACGAAUCCUGAUGGCAAAUCAGCUGAGGCAUCUGACGGUAGUCCAUAUAGAGGUACAAUUAAGGAACUAGAUACUUACUGCAUGGAGGGUCAAGUGAAGGAAGCAGUUGAAGUUUUGAAAUUGUUGGAAAAGUUGCACAUUCCUGUGGACUUGCCUCGUUAUUUACAAUUAAUGCACCAAUGUAGGGAGGCUAAAUCUCUUGAAGAGGCAAAAAUUGUACACAGUUAUGCUUUACGACAUCUGUCACCUCUCGAAGUCAGCACAUACAAUAGAAUAUUGGAGAUGUAUUUAGAAUGUGGUUCUCUAGAUGAUGCGCUCAAGGUGUUCAAUGAUAUGCCAGAGCGCAAUUUGACUACUUGGGAUACUAUGAUAACACAUCUCGCUAAGAAUGGGUAUGCGGAGGAUUCAAUUGACCUAUUUACACAAUUUAAAAACUUGGGACUGAAACCUGAUGGUCAGAUGUUUAUUGGUGUUUUUUCUGCAUGUAGUAUGCUGGGAGAUAUUGACGAGGGAAUGCUGCACUUUGAAUCCAUGAGCAAGGAUUAUGGCAUCAUACCAUCUAUGGCUCAUUUUGUCAGUAUAGUAGACAUGAUUGGCAGUGUUGGGCAUCUUGAUGAAGCCUUUGCAUUCAUUGAAAAGAUGCCAAUGGAGCCAAGUGCUGAUGUAUGGGAGACUUUGAUGAAUCUUUGUAGAGUUCAUGGUAGCACUGAGCUAGGGGAUCUUUGUGCUGAACUAGUUGAGCAGCUAGAUCCUUCUCGCCUAAAUGAGCAAUCAAAGGCUGGCCUUGUACCUGUAAAAACUUCAGACUUGACAAAAGAGAAAGAAAAGAAUAAAUUAGGAACAAAAAAACUUCUUGAAGUAAGGAGCCGAGUCCAUGAAUAUCGAGCAGGAGAUACUUCUCAUCCUGAAAAUGAUAAGAUAUAUGCUCUGCUUAGAGGUAUGAAGUCACAAAUGAAAGAAGCUGGCUAUAUUCCGGAGACGAAAUUUGUGUUGCAUGACAUAGACCAGGAAGGCAAAGAAGAAGCUCUUCUUGCGCACAGUGAGAGACUUGCUGUUGGUUAUGGUCUCCUUAGCAGUCCUGCUCGCUCUCGUAUCACCGUAAUUAAGAACCUCCGUGUUUGUGGUGAUUGCCAUACUGCACUGAAGAUUAUUUCUAAGCUUGUGGGCAGGGAACUCGUCAUUCGAGAUGCUAAAAGGUUCCACCAUUUUAAAGACGGUCUAUGCUCCUGCCGCGAUUAUUGGUGAACACGAACUUAGGUGUAUCGGGACUUCCAAGAUGGAUUGAAUAGCAUGGCUGUUUGUAAUAACCCCUCAAAGCCUAAUUAUAGGAAAAUUAUUUAUAUAUCUCAUGGUCAUUAAAAACAAUCUUUAUACCCACGAGGAGAUUGGAAUUUUGUUUAACCAGGCUCUUUCUCGUUAUGGGGUAUAUAAAUCAAGCAGUUGGGUAUGCAUUCACGUUGCAGAAGUGUUAUUCUUUUGGAGCUGUUUGAUAUAAUUGAUUGUGGUAGCUUCCAUGUAAGAUAUAAAUGACUAUUGCACUCCAUAUCAGGGAGAAGUUGAUGUAAUUGAUAGAUAUAACAUUGACGUUCAAUGUUAUAAUUUCAGAUAAAUUUUUUAGACUGUCAUUUCUUCAUUUAACUCAAACUCGAAAUGACAUUAUUUUACAGGCAAAAUCACUUGUUUGUCUGGUUCAUCUCUUCUUGGUGUCAAAGUUCUAGAUGAUGCAAGGGCAAUUGGUUUUGGAAAUUAAAGGAUCAAAUUCAUCAAGAUUUGACAUGGU
This is an RNA transcript of Gastrolobium bilobum, 2768 nucleotides long. It is a transcript of the gene named pentatricopeptide repeat-containing protein At4g32450, mitochondrial-like, with no coding region annotated. The record is from RefSeq and is a predicted model, not a curated record. The transcript is spliced from 4 exons. NCBI's taxonomy places the organism in Eukaryota, Viridiplantae, Streptophyta, Magnoliopsida, Fabales, Fabaceae.